UGGAGAAUCAGGACGAGGCGAUCUUGGCCAGGAGGCUAGUGCGGCGGUUCUUGAACGGUCGCGGUCUCCAUGUGAUGGGGAGGUAGGCACCGAGGAUCUUGAGUAGGAGGGCCAUCUUUGUGACAGCCCGAUGCCGACGUUUCAGAAGAUUCCUCCUUUUCUUUCCGUUUUCGUCGUGUGUCUAUUUUCUUUUGUCGCAUCAUCAUCGCAUCAUGCA
RNAcentral lists this long non-coding RNA (217 nucleotides) under Hordeum vulgare. Its description in RNAcentral is "long non-coding RNA (HVUL_LNC011405)". The record is from RNAcentral. Lineage: Eukaryota; Viridiplantae; Streptophyta; Magnoliopsida; Poales; Poaceae.